UUCUUCAUACUCUCUACCAUCUCCACGAGAAAAACCCACCCAAAAUCUCCAACCUCAACCUUCUCCAUCUCCACCGUCCGGCCACACCAAAGAAACUAUUUUCUCACCGGCGGCGACCCACAACCCGUUUUGGCCGGCCACUGAAGGAGACGCGUUUCGACGUUUCGGCACUCUGUUUCUCUCUGUCUCUCUAUCAAACGCGUUUCGGACCACUCAGAAGGAAGAACGUUUUGGCCGGCACGCUUGACGGCGACGCGUGGCUGACGGACUCGAAUCUCUAGUUUCACGCGAAUGAACUUGAACUUAUCAGCUCCCCACCCGAACUCGAAAUUCAACUUCUGCAACUCCAAUACACUCCACGAGGCUAGCGAACAGUGUCCAUUGCACUUUUGGGUGUUCAAAUUCCUAAUUCUUUAGAGGUAAACAAAUGCAAUUGGCUGGCUUCACCUCUUCAAACUACAAAGACUUCUGCUGAGGGGCUUUGAAGUAAAUGGAAAAACAAAGUUGUUGAUCCAUCAUCAAAUGACCUGAGAUCCCCGGGUUAACCAACGCCCUACACAAUGGACAUGUCCGUUCCCUCUCAAACCUGCACAUAGCACCAACCAGUCCAAAAUCGGUAUUGAAGUGAACAAUAUAUUAAGAACACUAAAGGUAGGUAAGUUGGCAUUUUUUGCCCCCAUUCUCCUUCCCUUGGACGUUUUAGUUCCGAAGUCUUGGUUAAUAAAAGUAGGACAAAAAAUGGAAGUUUUAUUUGAAAUCUCGUUUGGAACUAGAUAACAAGACUCAAAAAUCAAAAUACCAAGUAAUUUGAAGUACACCCUCUAAGUUCGCUCAUGAUUAAACCACCCCAAUGUUGGAUUGCCUUCUCCUUUUUUUACGUAGCUUGAAGUGUCUACUUACAUUAUUCAGUUUGCAUUUAGAAGAAAGCAAUGGAUGUGUGGAUCUUGAAUUUGAAAUGAACUUCCUUAUUUCUUGUGGAUAGGCACAAAACAUCUCACAUAAAAUGCACAUAUGAUUUCUAUUACUUCAAAAACAUCUCUCUCUAUCUAUAUCUUAUGGAAUAAGAACAAUUCUUAGUCAAAACUCUCUCUUUCUCUCUAUCACAAGGAAUUAGACCCAUUAUUUUUCUCCCUUUUUCCCACCUUUUUUCAUUACGUGGGUUGAUUCGAACUUCAAAGACAAUAAUUAUUAUUAUUAUUUGAUGGUGGGUAAGUUUGACUUAAUUCUAUAUUAGAGUAACGGAGACCAAUUUUUCUCAUGCUUCUUCCAUAUCAUUUUACUUUGUUCAUCUCUCUUACUAGGUUUCUUUUACUUUGUUCCCAUUUCUAUCUAUGUUUUUCAUCCCUCUUUAUGCCUUUUAACUUUUGAGGUCUCCAUUUUUCUUUUCUCAAAUAUCAUAGUAGGUCUCCCUUCUCUCUCUCUGAGUUCUUCCUUUUUUUUUUAUCUCUUUUAAAAAACUUUCCCCCUAUCUUCCUUUAAUUGUUAUAAUUCCACUUCUCUCAAAGAUUUGUUUAAUAAGUCUUGAUUUGUUAAGGAUCCUGUCACUCUUUUGCACAGGACAAACUCAUGAAAGAUCUAAGCAUUGAGAAAUGGUUGGCAUCAGGAAUCUUACAUCCUGUUACAAUGCAUAACCUUCAUGAUCCUUCUUUUGUUCCUAAUAAUACUCUUCGUCAUUUAUUGUUAUUGGGGUAGUUUUCUAAGAAUUGAAUUGUAGGUGAUAUUUUGUGGCAAUUGUAGACAAUUGUAGGCAAUUGUUAUUUGACUUUUCAUCCAUUAUUUGUGUGAUAUUUUACAAUUUACAUAUGACUUUGAUUCUAAUACCUGAAUUUCUAACUUAGGUACUUUAAGCGUUGUACUUAUUAUGGAUCGAUGUUGGAUAAAUUUAAGAGAUCGAGCUUCUAAUGAAUAUUCUGAUGGUGUUGCUAACUUUAUCGAAAUUGCAACUAAAUAUUUAGACGAAGAGGGAAGAACAAGAUGUCCUUGUUCAAAUUGUCUGAACAACAAUUGGAAUAUAUUAGAUGUCGUAGAAUGUCAUUUGUAUUAAUAUGGUAUGUCCCCGACUUAUAGGCGAUGGACAUUCCAUGGAGAUACAGUUGAUCUUUCUCCAUUUUUGAGAUCUAAGUCGAGGUUUCUAGGUGCAACAUUUUCCAAUUUAAGUGAACAUAGAGAAGAGAAUGUAAAUCUUAGAGAAAACAUUGAAGCUAGAGAUACUAUGGAUGAUGAGAUGCUAGAGAUGAUUCAUGAUCUACAUGGGCCACUUUUCGAAGAAACUAAAAGAAAAUCAAACGAGCAAGAUGAGUCCGAUAAAAUAAGUGGAAUAUUUCCUGAAAUAGAAGAAGAGUUAUAUCCGGGAUAUCUAAAGUUCACUUCGUUUAAUUUUUUAGUGAAACUUAUGCACAUUAGGGUGCUUAAUUGUUGGAGCAACAAAUCCUUUGAUAUGUUGCGUGAAUCAUUAAAAAAAGCCUUUCCAGAUGGUGUGAAACUACAUGCCUCCUAUUAUGAGUCUAAGAAAAGACUACGUGAUCGUUGGGAACGAGAAAACUUUAAGAGUAGAUCUGAAGAAAAUACCAAGGCAUGAUCUAAACUUCUAUUCACUCAUCGAGGUGGAACUACAACAUUUAUACGCCAUAAGCAGAAAAAGGAUGAAAUGAUGGAAUUAAAAACCACCUCAUCACAAUAAGGGAGUGAACCUCUUAUGGAAAGAGAAAUAUGUGAACAAGUAUUGGGUAAGCGGUCGGAGCAUGUGAAAGGACAAGAUUGGGGACCAAGACCCAAGAAUACUAGAAAUGAAACAAUUCAACAAAGCACAAAAGAAACAAAUGCGAAGAUCGCACACUUGCAAAGAAUGGUUGAAUCGCUUCUAGCUACAAUUGAAGCGAUUUUAAGAAGGUUACAUGUCAAGAAGCUACCUUCGAACAAAGUUUAGAACAAUCAAAUGAUAGUCAACAUAUAGUUUUUUCAACUUAAUUAGUUUGAUAUAAAGUGUCAGAUUAGAGUAAUAUAUACAAACAUUAUAUAUUAUGAAUUAAUAUCUAUUCUACAGUUAUGGUAAUUGUAGAUUCGUUCUUGUGAUGAUUUUGGUGUUUUGUGAUUAGAAUAUUAUGGAGUGUCAUUUUGAUUUU
Cucumis sativus (cucumber) is the source of this 3122-nucleotide long non-coding RNA. RefSeq lists it as uncharacterized. The record is from RefSeq and is a predicted model, not a curated record. The transcript is spliced from 3 exons. Lineage: Eukaryota; Viridiplantae; Streptophyta; Magnoliopsida; Cucurbitales; Cucurbitaceae.